AACGAACGCUGGCGGCAGGCUUAACACAUGCAAGUCGAGCGCAUCCUUCGGGGUGAGCGGCAGACGGGUGAGUAACGCGUGGGAAUCUACCUUUUGCUACGGAAUAGCUCCGGGAAACUGGAAUUAAUACCGUAUGUGCCCUUAGGGGGAAAGAUUUAUCGGCAAGAGAUGAGCCCGCGUUGGAUUAGCUAGUUGGUGGGGUAAAGGCCUACCAAGGCGACGAUCCAUAGCUGGUCUGAGAGGAUGAUCAGCCACAUUGGGACUGAGAUACGGCCCAGACUCCUACGGGAGGCAGCAGUGGGGAAUAUUGCACAAUGGGCGGAAGCCUGAUGCAGCAACGCCGCGUGCGGGAUGACGGCCUUCGGGUUGUAAACCGCUUUCGCCUGUGACGAAGCGUGAGUGACGGUAAUGGGUAAAGAAGCACCGGCUAACUACGUG
RNAcentral lists this ribosomal RNA (438 nucleotides) under uncultured bacterium. RNAcentral's name for it is "partial 16S ribosomal RNA". It matches the Rfam family "Bacterial small subunit ribosomal RNA", at positions 29 to 507 of the family's 1533-position model. The record is from RNAcentral.